GGAAACGGGGCGGCAACACAGCUGAGAAGUAGCAAAUCUCUCCGUCUCUCACUGUUGUUUUUACUGCUUUCAGAAAUGGUUCAGUGUCAUGGGAAUAAGUCCGUUAGCAUCACAACCGUGAGCUAACAGAGGCUAACUAUAAGAGCAGAGUUGGAGUGGACCUCUUGUUGAAGAACUUCUCCAGGCACUAUGAACCAUCUGACUAGUAAGAAAAACCUCAAACAUUCAGAAGUUUAUCAGAUAUUAAAAAUAUAUGUCAAAUAAAUAUCAAAUAUUUUUUGAGUCCUGUAUGUCUUACAAGGCCAUCCUGUUUAACACUGCACUGAGGACACUACAACCAGAGAGGUACAACAUAAUUCAAAAUGAGACACAGAUGAUAAUAAAAAAGUGGUUUGAAAUGAAAAUGAAUACUGGUAAGACAGAACCGAGUACUGUGACUGUGCCUCACUUCAAAGUGAAACAGUCUGUAAUGGUCAUCUGCCAUGCCAGAUCGAUGGUGAAGGUGGGAAUUAUAAGUACGAUUUUCUAAACUUUAAAUGUAGUAAAGUGUUUGUUCAAGUAGACUUUGUUGCUUGUGGAAACUUCACACAAGCCUGAAAGGUGCUUU
Cyprinus carpio carpio is the source of this 607-nucleotide long non-coding RNA. The record is from Ensembl. NCBI's taxonomy places the organism in Eukaryota, Metazoa, Chordata, Actinopteri, Cypriniformes, Cyprinidae.